This 228-nucleotide ribosomal RNA is filed under the name uncultured bacterium. RNAcentral's name for it is "partial 16S ribosomal RNA". It matches the Rfam family "Bacterial small subunit ribosomal RNA", at positions 96 to 334 of the family's 1533-position model. The record is from RNAcentral.
CGGCGAACGGGUGAGUAACGCGUGGAUGACCUGCCUUGAGGUGGGGGAUAACUCGGGGAAACUCGAGCUAAUACCGCAUAUGAUCGCGAGAUCAAAGGGGCGCAAGUCCCGCCAUGAGAGGGGUCCGCGUACGAUUAGCUAGUUGGUAGGGUAAUGGCCUACCAAGGCGACGAUCGUUAGCCGGCCUGAGAGGGUGAUCGGCCACACUGGAACUGAGACACGGUCCAG